GACGAACGCUGGCGGCGUGCUUAACACAUGCAAGUCGAACGGAAAGGCUCUGCUUUUGUGGGGUGCUCGAGUGGCGAACGGGUGAGUAACACGUGAGUAACCUGCCCUUGACUUUGGGAUAACUUCAGGAAACUGGGGCUAAUACCGGAUAGGAGCUCCUGCUGCAUGGUGGGGGUUGGAAAGUUUCGGCGGUUGGGGAUGGACUCGCGGCUUAUCAGCUUGUUGGUGUGGUAGUGGCUUACCAAGGCUUUGACGGGUAGCCUGCCUGAGAGGGUGACAGGCCACAUUGGGACUGAGAUACGGCCCAGACUACUACGGGUGGCCGCAGUGGGGAAUAUUGCACAAUGGGCAGAAGCCUGAUGCAGCAACGCCGCGUGCGGGAUGACGGCCUUCGGGUUGUAAACCGCUUUCGCCUGUGACGAAGCGUGAGUGACGGUAAUGGGUAAAGAAGCACCGGCUAACUACGUG
Molecule: ribosomal RNA, 468 nt
Filed under: uncultured bacterium
Lineage: Bacteria
Description: partial 16S ribosomal RNA
Rfam family: Bacterial small subunit ribosomal RNA
Source: RNAcentral